UACGUAGGGUGCAAGCGUUGUCCGGAAUUAUUGGGCGUAAAGAGUUCGUAGGCGGUGUGUCGCGUCGGCCGUGAAAACCUGGGGCUUAACUCUGGGCUUGCGGUCGAUACGGGCAUCACUGGAGUUCGGCAGGGGAGACUGGAAUUCCUGGUGUAGCGGUGAAAUGCGCAGAUAUCAGGAGGAACACCGGUGGCGAAGGCGGGUCUCUGGGCCGAUACUGACGCUGAGGAGCGAAAGCGUGGGGAGCGAACAGG
RNAcentral lists this ribosomal RNA (254 nucleotides) under uncultured bacterium. RNAcentral's name for it is "partial 16S ribosomal RNA". It matches the Rfam family "Bacterial small subunit ribosomal RNA", at positions 524 to 776 of the family's 1533-position model. The record is from RNAcentral.